This 688-nucleotide ribosomal RNA is filed under the name uncultured bacterium. Its description in RNAcentral is "bacterial SSU rRNA". It matches the Rfam family "Bacterial small subunit ribosomal RNA", at positions 92 to 767 of the family's 1533-position model. The record is from RNAcentral.
CGAGCGGCGGACGGGUGAGUAACACGUGGGUAACCUGCCCAAGAGACUGGGAUAACACCUGGAAACAGAUGCUAAUACCGGAUAACAACACUAGACGCAUGUCUAGAGUUUGAAAGAUGGUUCUGCUAUCACUCUUGGAUGGACCUGCGGUGCAUUAGCUAGUUGGUAAGGUAACGGCUUACCAAGGCAAUGAUGCAUAGCCGAGUUGAGAGACUGAUCGGCCACAUUGGGACUGAGACACGGCCCAAACUCCUACGGGAGGCAGCAGUAGGGAAUCUUCCACAAUGGACGAAAGUCUGAUGGAGCAACGCCGCGUGAGUGAAGAAGGGUUUCGGCUCGUAAAGCUCCGUUGGUAGUGAAGAAAGAUAGAGGUAGUAACUGGCCUUUAUUUGACGGUAAUUACUUAGAAAGUCACGGCUAACUACGUGCCAGCAGCCGCGGUAAUACGUAGGUGGCAAGCGUUGUCCGGAUUUAUUGGGCGUAAAGCGAGUGCAGGCGGUUCAAUAAGUCUGAUGUGAAAGCCUUCGGCUCAACCGGAGAAUUGCAUCAGAAACUGUUGAACUUGAGUGCAGAAGAGGAGAGUGGAACUCCAUGUGUAGCGGUGGAAUGCGUAGAUAUAUGGAAGAACACCAGUGGCGAAGGCGGCUCUCUGGUCUGCAACUGACGCUGAGGCUCGAAAGCAUGGGUA